GUAGGGAAUAUUGGGCAAUGGUCGGAAGACUGACCCAGCCAUGCCGCGUGCAGGAAGACGGCCCUCUGGGUUGUAAACUGCUUUUAUCUGGGAAGAAAAAGGCCAUGCGUGGCAAAUUGCUGGUACCAGAUGAAUAAGCACCGGCUAACUCCGUGCCAGCAGCCGCGGUAAUACGGAGGGUGCGAGCGUUGUCCGGAUUUAUUGGGUUUAAAGGGUGCGUAGGCUGCUGAUUAAGUCAGCGGUGAAAGACUUCGGCUUAACCGGAGCAGUGCCGUUGAUACUGGUUGGCUUGAGUGUCGGAGGGGUACAUGGAAUUGAUGGUGUAGCGGUGAAAUGCAUAGAUACCAUCAGGAACACCGAUAGCGAAGGCAUUGUACUGGCCGACAACUGACGCUGAUGCACGAAAGUGUGGGGAUCGAACAGGAUUAGAAACCCGGGUAGUCC
RNAcentral lists this ribosomal RNA (444 nucleotides) under uncultured bacterium. RNAcentral describes it as "partial 16S ribosomal RNA". It matches the Rfam family "Bacterial small subunit ribosomal RNA", at positions 354 to 796 of the family's 1533-position model. The record is from RNAcentral.